GGAAGUUUUCGAGUCCUGGACGUCAGGAGUGAAACGGCUGGCGGCGUAGCGUUAAACACAUGCAAGUCGAGCGAAGCGUAUUAGUCGGAAGUUUUCGGAUGGAAGCGGAUAUGACUUAGCGGCGGACGGGUGAGUAACGCGUGGAUAACCUGCCUCAGUACAGGGGGAGUAACAGCUAGAAAUGACUGCUAAUACCGCAUAAGCGCACAGGACCGCAUGGUCCGGUGUGAAAAACUCCGGUGGUAUGGGAUGGAUCCGCGUCUGAUUAGCUGGUUGGUGAGGUAACGGCCCACCAAGGCGACGAUCAGUAGCCGACCUGAGAGGGUGGCCGGCCACAUUGGGACUGAGACACGGCCCAAACUCCUACGGGAGGCAGCAGUGGGGAAUAUUGCACAAUGGGGGAAACCCUGAUGCAGCAACGCCGCGUGAGUGAAGAAGUAUUUCGGUAUGUAAAGCUCUAUCAGCAGGGAAGAAGAAAGACGGUACCUGACUAAGAACGCCCCGGCUAACUACGUG
This 516-nucleotide ribosomal RNA is filed under the name uncultured Lachnospiraceae bacterium. Its description in RNAcentral is "bacterial SSU rRNA". It matches the Rfam family "Bacterial small subunit ribosomal RNA", at positions 1 to 507 of the family's 1533-position model. The record is from RNAcentral. Lineage: Bacteria; Bacillati; Bacillota; Clostridia; Lachnospirales; Lachnospiraceae.